Molecule: long non-coding RNA, 379 nt
Organism: Homo sapiens (human)
Lineage: Eukaryota; Metazoa; Chordata; Mammalia; Primates; Hominidae
Gene: PPP2R2B-AS3
Product: PPP2R2B antisense RNA 3
Exons: 2
Source: RefSeq, a predicted model, not a curated record
GUGUAAUGGAAUUCAGCUUUAGGAGUAAGCGAGAUGUCAUAGGAAGCCAAGAAGAAAAAUGGAAAAAAGUAUUUCAUUUGAUGACAUAGAAAAACAAGUAUGACAGAGGUCUGAAGGACCAGAGGGGACCACUUAUUAGCUCAUCACAAACUUGAAACAGGCAAAAUGUACCUGUCAGAGCCUAAGUAGAACUGGAUUGCAUGAUGUAUGGCAGUGAUCUUCCAGAGCGCUCUCAAGUGUGUUUGACACGAGUGAACUGUGUUCGAGUUGAUUCUCCCUAUGGCAGUCCCAAAGCCUAAUUAUGAAAACACGAUAAGAUCAUUGCACAGUUAGACCAUUGCACCAUUGGCAUUCCUAAUAAACAGAUCAGCUUAGCCCA